GAGUGAACGCUGGCGGUAGGCCUAACACAUGCAAGUCGAACGGCAGCACAGUAAGAGCUUGCUCUUACGGGUGGCGAGUGGCGGACGGGUGAGGAAUACAUCGGAAUCUACUUUUUCGUGGGGGAUAACGUAGGGAAACUUACGCUAAUACCGCAUACGACCUACGGGUGAAAGCAGGGGAUCUUCGGACCUUGCGCGAUUGAAUGAGCCGAUGUCGGAUUAGCUAGUUGGCGGGGUAAAGGCCCACCAAGGCGACGAUCCGUAGCUGGUCUGAGAGGAUGAUCAGCCACACUGGAACUGAGACACGGUCCAGACUCCUACGGGAGGCAGCAGUGGGGAAUAUUGGACAAUGGGCGCAAGCCUGAUCCAGCCAUACCGCGUGGGUGAAGAAGGCCUUCGGGUUGUAAAGCCCUUUUGUUGGGAAAGAAAAGCAGCAGGUUAAUACCCCGCUGUUCUGACGGUACCCAAAGAAUAAGCACCGGCUAACUUCGUGC
RNAcentral lists this ribosomal RNA (494 nucleotides) under uncultured bacterium. RNAcentral's name for it is "partial 16S ribosomal RNA". It matches the Rfam family "Bacterial small subunit ribosomal RNA", at positions 27 to 508 of the family's 1533-position model. The record is from RNAcentral.